RNAcentral lists this microRNA (23 nucleotides) under Bombyx mori (domestic silkworm). RNAcentral's name for it is "bmo-miR-3387-3p". Lineage: Eukaryota; Metazoa; Arthropoda; Insecta; Lepidoptera; Bombycidae. The record is from miRBase by way of RNAcentral.
UUCAGGUUCGUGCAUAAUGUGCU